Molecule: long non-coding RNA, 3093 nt
Filed under: Sus scrofa (pig)
Lineage: Eukaryota; Metazoa; Chordata; Mammalia; Artiodactyla; Suidae
Description: lncRNA (ENSSSCG00055001931.1)
Source: RNAcentral
GGACACAGACGUCAGCAGCUGCGAAGAGGCCUGGCCUGGCCGUGCUGCACCCUCAUCUCUGCCUUUCAGCCUCCAGAAUGGUGAGAAAGACACUUCCUUUGCUUAUCAGUCACCCAGUCUAGGGUUUUUGUUACAGCAGCCCAGAUGGACUAAGACCACCUGCUCAAUCGUUUGUUUCUCAGAUGAAUAAGAACUCUCUGCCAGGGAAGAGACCUUCCCCAAAACCCCUCACGGGGGACGCUGGUUUUAGUGAUGUCUGCUUUCUAAGUGAGAGCCAUGAUUCAGGAUUGGAGAUGGUGUUUCUUCUCAGUUCUUCGUCCCACAUUUACUUGCUUGGCAUCUGCUCUGUGCCUGGCACUGCACCGGGCACCCUUUAGAUAAGGAUGAGCCCUGAAAAGUGGGAGCAGACGGCUUAAUGGAGCCUCGUUGUGACUCACCCCAGUGGGAAGGUUGAGGCACCUGCCUCGGGGGAAUCCACAGCCAAGAUAAAGCAUCACCCACCAGGCGUGGGGAUGGUCGAGCGUCACCAGAAUGAUGCAGGGUGGAAGGCACACGCCACAGCUCCCUCACUCUAGAAGGAUGUUUUUGAGAAGUCUACCUGCUCCCCAGAGGCAUGGGGCAGCCUAGUUCUCUCUUCCCCUCUUUUCUUUCUUCGCUCUCAAUUCCCCAUCUGUGAGUCACUCGGUAUCAGUCCACUAAACUCUUCUCAGCCCAUGUCAGCAGGAACCAGCUGGCUUUGUGGGGGAAAAUACCAACCCAGCUGUCUGUACAAGGAUGGUAAGAAUUAGAACCUUGGGUCCCAUACCUCCAGCUCACAUCUGGAGAAACUGAAGGGGAGACUUUGAAAUUUGGGGUCAAGGAAGCCUUGUAGCUUUUUGAUUAACAGCACGAGUUCUUGAGUCACCUGGCCUGGAAGAAAAAGCCCGCCUCGGCCGUUUAGUUACUGAUUGAUUUCGACCCAUCACUUCACUCACCAAGCUUCAGCUCCUCCUCUCUGACUAUAGGACAAGAUCAGUACCACGCUCCUAAGGCCAGCGAUGCUGCAAAAUGCAUAAUAACCUUUGGUUGUUAUUUUAGUGAUGAUUCUUCUAGAUUUCUCCUGAGAAGUCAUGCAAAACAGGAAUGUGAAUUGCAAAAAAGAUGCUGAGCAGGAAGGCACCAAAGAAAGCCUUUCUCCAAAGGGGAUGUUUAUUUCAGAGGCACACAGGGGGAAGCUCCACCAGCUGUUUUCCAGGAAAUCAUCCACUUCACCCAGGGUGGGGAUAUGGACAAGACAGAGUCCCGGCCUCCCUGGGAAACUGGUGUGAGGAAGUCCAGUCAGCAACACAACUGAGAGAGACCCCGCCGUGCCCAGUAGUGCCAGGCAUAGUGAAGUUAAGGUGAUGGGGAGGGGUGACCAUUGGAGGUGAAGGGACCUGAGAGUGGAGACCAGGACAGGGGAUGGGAAAGCCAAGUCCCUGAGGAAGGGAUGAGCUUAAUAAGUUUGAGGAACAGAAAAAAGGUGACUCCAGAAGGCUUGCCCACAGCUGGGUCUUACAAGGGAUGGAAGCCCUUAGACCUCGAGGAGGGAUCGUGUGGCCUCCUGAUUUCCGUUUUUAUAGGCAGCUUUGGAGGAUGGAUUAGCAGGAGAGGGAGGCGAGCGCUGGAGUAGGAAACCCAACUGGCAGCCGGUCCACCGCUGUCCAGCAAAUCCGGUGUUGACUCGGAAGGUCAGUGGAGACGGAGGGAGUUGAGAGAUGUGGGAUCUGCUUUGGAGGCAGAGACAACAGAAUGGGAGAAAGGAAUCCAGGAUGACGCCGACGUCUUGGGGAGGCACUGCUGAGGAGUGUGAGUGAGGUCCCGCCUGACCCCAGCUAGUGGGCUGCUGCCUUCUUCUGGCUUCCGUGAGUCAAAGGGACAUGAAAACCACAACAUGAGGUUUAACUGCGAAGCCCCGCUCCCCGCCCAUCCCCUUCGCCUCUUGAGUUUCAUUUUACUGGUCCCGUCCCAACAGAUGGCUCUUCUUAAAGCAGCAUCGCCAGUGUGUAAUUCUUCUUAAUGACAGGAGAGCCAAUUUUAUUCUCUCCUGGAAAUUAAUUUCUCUUCCAUUUCUCUCUUCCCCUCCACCCCUCUCUCUGUUCCUGUGAUGAUUUCUUUCGGAAAUAAUUCCCCUUGCACGCGACCUCCACAAACCUCUGAAUCCCCGCAGAUGGAGCAAGGCUGCUCUUGCGAGGGAACGGAGGGCAGGAGGCAUGUCCUGUGCUCUGCAGUUUUGUUCCUGGAGGAGGAGGACAUGGGGACAGCUCUAGGACUAAGGGUUCAUCUUUUCAUCUAUGUUUACUUCUCAGGAGACCCCAGCCCCAUGGUCUUAAAUUUUUCAUUGAAGUAUAGUUGGUUUACAAUGUUCCUUCAGUUUCUACUGUACAGCAAAGUGACCCAGCCACACACACACACACACACACACACACACACACACACACACAUUGUUUUUUUUUUUUUUUUUCUUCAUACUAGCUACUAUGUUUUUUGCCUCCUUGGCUCUGCACAUGUGUUCUCUACAUAAUAUUAAACAGUAACCUUUGUGUCUCCCACAUUCUGGGGUGCUCCAGACACACACACCACAUUUUUCAACCACGCACACAUGCACGCACAAGAGUGGAACCCGUACUGGCUGACCCAGGGCAAAAUCAAACAACUUUUAACUGCUAAGUUGACUUUACCUUUUUUAACACCUUAAUUGAGACAUAAUUUACGUGCCAUAAAAUUCACCCAUUUUAAGUGUGUGAUUCAAUGGCUUUUUAAGUUUACUGAGUUGUAUCCUGGCUGUUUUCUUUCUUGCAAACGGAGCCACUGGAUGAACACUCUCACCCCCUGAGCUCCCUCCCCACUUGGAAAUGUGACAGUUAAAGAGCAGGUUCUGUUUCACCCCCCCCCCAAGUAGUUUUUAUUCAUUCUGCCAUUUACAACUUACUUCCUGUGUUUUGAUUCUGAGCUGCUCAGGCCUACUUCUUAGAAGCCAAGUGGAUUAGUUUUUACACUGUCAAGAAGUUUCUCUUGUGUCAGAGGAGUUUUCUGGGUUUUUUGUUUGUUUUGUUAAUCUUCAGAUCUUUGCUU